ACAGAGAUGGCUAGCGUUGUUCGGAUUCAUUGGGUGUAAGGGGUGCGUAGGCGGCCCAGAAAGUCAGAUGUGAAAGCCCACAGCUCAACUGUGGAAUUGCAUUUGAAACUUCUAGGCUGGAGUGUGGGAGAGGUGAAGGGAAUUCCCGGUGGAAGGGUUAAAUCUGCAGAGAUCGGGAGGAACACCAGAAGGGAAGGCGAGUCACUGGCCCACAACUGACGCGGAGAGCACGAAGGCAUGGGGAGCAAACGG
This 252-nucleotide ribosomal RNA is filed under the name uncultured prokaryote. Its description in RNAcentral is "partial 16S rRNA". It matches the Rfam family "Bacterial small subunit ribosomal RNA", at positions 525 to 775 of the family's 1533-position model. The record is from RNAcentral.